ACUCAAAGGAAUAGACGGGGACCCGCACAAGUAGCGGAGCAUGUGGUUUAAUUCGAAGCAACGCGAAGAACCUUACCUACACUUGACAUCCCUUGCAUUACUCUUAAUCGAGGAAAUCCCUUCGGGGACAAGGUGACAGGUGGUGCAUGGUUGUCGUCAGCUCGUGUCGUGAGAUGUUGGGUUAAGUCCCGCAACGAGCGCAACCCUUGUCGUUAGUUACUACCAUUAAGUUGAGGACUCUAGCGAGACUGCCUGGGUUAACCAGGAGGAAGGUGGGGAUGACGUCAAAUCAUCAUGCCCCUUAUGUGUAGGGCUACACACGUGCUACAAUGGCUGGUACAGAGAGAUGCAAUACCGCGAGGUGGAGCCAAACUUAAAAACCAGUCUCAGUUCGGAUUGUAGGCUGAAACUCGCCUACAUGAAGCUGGAGUUACUAGUAAUCGCGAAUCAGAAUGUCGCGGUGAAUACGUUCCCGGGUCUUGUACACACCGCCCGU
RNAcentral lists this ribosomal RNA (496 nucleotides) under uncultured bacterium. Its description in RNAcentral is "bacterial SSU rRNA". It matches the Rfam family "Bacterial small subunit ribosomal RNA", at positions 899 to 1397 of the family's 1533-position model. The record is from RNAcentral.